GAUGAACGCUGGCGGCGUGCCUAGCACAUGCAAGUCGAACGAAGCACCUUACCUGAUUCUUCGGAUGAAAGUUUGGUGACUGAGUGGCGGACGGGUGAGUAACGCGUGGGUAACCUGCCCUGUACAGGGGGAUAACAGCUGGAAACGGCUGCUAAUACCGCAUAAGCGCACGAGGAGACAUCUCCUUGUGUGAAAAACUCCGGUGGUACAGGAUGGGCCCGCGUCUGAUUAGCUGGUUGGCAGGGUAACGGCCUACCAAGGCAACGAUCAGUAGCCGGUCUGAGAGGAGGAACGGCAACAGUGGAACUGAGACACGGUCCAAACUCCUACGGGAGGCAGCAGUGGGGAAUAUUGAACAAUGGGGGAAACCCUGAUGCAGCAACGCCGCGUGAGUGAAGAAGUAUUUCGGUAUGUAAAGCUCUAUCAGCAGGGAAGAUAAUGACGGUACCUGACUAAGAAGCGCCGGCUAAAUACGUG
This 477-nucleotide ribosomal RNA is filed under the name uncultured bacterium. RNAcentral's name for it is "partial 16S ribosomal RNA". It matches the Rfam family "Bacterial small subunit ribosomal RNA", at positions 28 to 507 of the family's 1533-position model. The record is from RNAcentral.